This is a non-coding RNA of Pelobates cultripes (western spadefoot toad), 124 nucleotides long. NCBI's taxonomy places the organism in Eukaryota, Metazoa, Chordata, Amphibia, Anura, Pelobatidae. The record is from the annotation of a GenBank genome assembly.
GACUGGUGACAGAGUGAGAGAGGGGGUGACUAGUGACAGAGUGAAAGAGGGGGUGACUGUCACUAGUCACCCCAUCCCUCACUCUGUCACUAGUCACCCCCUCUCUCACUCUGUCACUAGUCAC